AGCUCCAAUAGCGUAUAUUAAAGUUGUUGCAGUUAAAAAGCUCGUAGUUGGAUUUGUGGAAGGAAGGGCUGGUUUCACUUAUGUGAAUACCGUGCUGUUUCCGUCCAUCCUUGGGUGGAAUCUGUGUGGCAUUGAGUUGUCGUGCAGGGGAUGCCCAUCGUUUACUGUGAAAAAAUUAGAGUGUUCAAAGCAGGCUUACGCCUUGAAUAUAUUAGCAUGGAAUAAUAAGAUAGGACCUGGGUACUAUUUUGUUGGUUUGCGCACCGAGGUAAUGAUUAAUAGGGACAGUUGGGGGUAUUCGUAUUCCUUUGUCAGAGGUGAAAUUCUUGGAUUUUUGGAAGACGAACUACUGCGAAAGCAUUUACCAAGGAUGUUU
This 376-nucleotide ribosomal RNA is filed under the name uncultured eukaryote. Its description in RNAcentral is "SSU rRNA". It matches the Rfam family "Eukaryotic small subunit ribosomal RNA", at positions 587 to 969 of the family's 1831-position model. The record is from RNAcentral.